CCUACGGGUGGCAGCAGUGAGGAAUAUUGGUCAAUGGGCGCGAGCCUGAACCAGCCAAGCAGCGUGAAGGAUGACUGCCCUACGGGUCGUAAACUUCUUUUAUAAAGGAAUAAAGUGAGGCACGCGUGCCUUUUUGUAUGUACUUUAUGAAUAAGAAUCGGCUAACUCCGUGCCAGCAGCCGCGGUAAUACGGCGGAUCCGAGCGUUAUCCGGAUUUAUUGUGUUUAAAGGGAGCGUAGAUGGGUUGUUAAGUCAGGUGUUAAAGUUUGCGGCUCAACCGUAAAAUUGCAAUUGAUACUGGCAGCCUUGAGUACAGUUGAGGUAGGCGGAAUUCGUGGUGUAGCGGUGAAAUGCUUAGAUAUCACGAAGAACUCCGAUUGCGAAGGCAGCUUACUAAACUGCCACUGACAUUGAUGCUCGAAAGUGUGGGUAUCAAACAGGAUUAGAUACCCUGGUAGUC
This 460-nucleotide ribosomal RNA is filed under the name uncultured bacterium. RNAcentral describes it as "partial 16S ribosomal RNA". It matches the Rfam family "Bacterial small subunit ribosomal RNA", at positions 338 to 795 of the family's 1533-position model. The record is from RNAcentral.